GAUGAACGCUGGCGGCGUGCCUAAUACAUGCAAGUCGAGCGAACAGACGAGAGUGCUUGCACUCUCUGACGUUAGCGGCGGACGGGUGAGUAACACGUGGGUAACCUACCUAUAAGACUGGGAUAACUUCGGGAAACCGGAGCUAAUACCGGAUAAUAUUUAGCUUCGCAUGAAGCAAUAGUGAAAGACGGUUCUGCUGUCACUUAUAGAUGGACCCGCGGUGUAUUAGCUGGUUGGUGGGGUAACGGCUCACCAAGGCAACGAUACAUAGCCGACCUGAGAGGGUGAUCGGCCACACGGGGACUGGAACACGGCCCAGACUCCUACGGGAGGCAGCAGUAGGGAAUCUUCCGCAACGGACGAAAGUCUGACGGAGCAAUGCCGCGUGAGUGAAGAAGGUUUUCGGAUCGUAAAACUCUGUUGUAAGGGAAGAACAAGUACGUUAGUAACUGAACGUACCUUGACGGUACCUGAUCAGAAAGCCACGGCUAACUACGUG
Molecule: ribosomal RNA, 499 nt
Filed under: uncultured bacterium
Lineage: Bacteria
Description: partial 16S ribosomal RNA
Rfam family: Bacterial small subunit ribosomal RNA
Source: RNAcentral